RNAcentral lists this ribosomal RNA (508 nucleotides) under uncultured bacterium. Its description in RNAcentral is "partial 16S ribosomal RNA". It matches the Rfam family "Bacterial small subunit ribosomal RNA", at positions 28 to 507 of the family's 1533-position model. The record is from RNAcentral.
GACGAACGCUGGCGGCGUGCCUAAUACAUGCAAGUCGAACGCUUCUUUCCUCCCGAGUGCUUGCACUCAAUUGGAAAGAGGAGUGGCGGACGGGUGAGUAACACGUGGGUAACCUACCCAUCAGAGGGGGAUAACACUUGGAAACAGGUGCUAAUACCGCAUAACAGUUUAUGCCGCAUGGCAUAAGAGUGAAAGGCGCUUUCGGGUGUCGCUGAUGGAUGGACCCGCGGUGCAUUAGCUAGUUGGUGAGGUAACGGCUCACCAAGGCCACGAUGCAUAGCCGACCUGAGAGGGUGAUCGGCCACACUGGGACUGAGACACGGCCCAGACUCCUACGGGAGGCAGCAGUAGGGAAUCUUCGGCAAUGGACGAAAGUCUGACCGAGCAACGCCGCGUGAGUGAAGAAGGUUUUCGGAUCGUAAAACUCUGUUGUUAGAGAAGAACAAGGACGUUAGUAACUGAACAUCCCCUGGCGGUAUCUAACCAGAAAGCCACGGCUAACUACGUG